ACGAACGCUGGCGGCGUGGAUAAGACAUGCAAGUCGAGCGAGAUUUUUUCUUGUAGCAAUACAGGGAAAAGUCUAGCGGCGAACGGGUGCUUAACACGUGGGCAACCUGCCGUGAAGUGGGGGAUAGCUCGCCGAAAGGCGAAUUAAUACCGCAUGUGAUUAGAGAGGACAUCCUUUCGAAAUUAAAGUCGGGGCAACCUGACGCUUCUUGUGGGGCCCGCGGCCUAUCAGCUAGUUGGUGAGGUAACGGCUCACCAAGGCUUUGACGGGUAGCUGGUCUGAGAGGACGACCAGCCACACUGGGACUGAGACACGGCCCAGACACCUACGGGUGGCAGCAGUCGAGAAUUUUUGACAAUGGGGGAAACCCUGAUCGAGCGACGCCGCGUGGAGGAUGAAGGUCUUCGGAUUGUAAACUCCUGUCAUUGGGGAACAAGGUGCAUACGUUAACUGCGUGUGCAUUGAUAGUACUCGAAGAGGAAGGGACGGCUAACUCUGUGCCAGCAGCCGCGGUAAUACAGAGGUCCCAAGCGUUGUUCGGAUUCAUUGGGCCGUAAAGGGUGCGUAGGCGGCGCGGUAAGUCGGGUGUGAAAUCUCGGAGCUUAACUCCGAAACUGCAUUCGAUACUGCCGUGCUUGAGGACUGGAGAGGAGACUGGAAUUUACGGUGUAGCGGUGAAAUGCGUAGAUAUCGUAAGGAAGACCAGUGGCGAAGGCGGGUCUCUGGACAGUUCCUGACGCUGAGGCACGAA
This 751-nucleotide ribosomal RNA is filed under the name uncultured bacterium. Its description in RNAcentral is "bacterial SSU rRNA". It matches the Rfam family "Bacterial small subunit ribosomal RNA", at positions 29 to 757 of the family's 1533-position model. The record is from RNAcentral.